Molecule: ribosomal RNA, 473 nt
Filed under: Aeromonas sp.
Lineage: Bacteria; Pseudomonadati; Pseudomonadota; Gammaproteobacteria; Aeromonadales; Aeromonadaceae
Description: bacterial SSU rRNA
Rfam family: Bacterial small subunit ribosomal RNA
Source: RNAcentral
CUACACAUGCAGUCGAGCGGCAGCGGGAAAGUAGCUUGCUACUUUUGCCGGCGAGCGGCGGACGGGUGAGUAAUGCCUGGGAAAUUGCCCAGUCGAGGGGGAUAACAGUUGGAAACGACUGCUAAUACCGCAUACGCCCUACGGGGGAAAGCAGGGGACCUUCGGGCCUUGCGCGAUUGGAUAUGCCCAGGUGGGAUUAGCUAGUUGGUGAGGUAAUGGCUCACCAAGGCGACGAUCCCUAGCUGGUCUGAGAGGAUGAUCAGCCACACUGGAACUGAGACACGGUCCAGACUCCUACGGGAGGCAGCAGUGGGGAAUAUUGCACAAUGGGGGAAACCCUGAUGCAGCCAUGCCGCGUGUGUGAAGAAGGCCUUCGGGUUGUAAAGCACUUUCAGCGAGGAGGAAAGGUCAGUAGCUAAUAUCUGCUGACUGUGACGUUACUCGCAGAAGAAGCACCGGCUAACUCCGUGCCA